This is a long non-coding RNA of Calypte anna (Anna's hummingbird), 382 nucleotides long. RefSeq lists it as uncharacterized. NCBI's taxonomy places the organism in Eukaryota, Metazoa, Chordata, Aves, Apodiformes, Trochilidae. The record is from RefSeq and is a predicted model, not a curated record. The transcript is spliced from 3 exons.
UGAGAGAAAACAUUUACUGACUGAAAACACACACUUGUGCCCCCCCCUUCCAGCUGAUAAGGACAGAGUGACUGCAGGCACUGAGGUGAGGCACCUGAUGAGCCUGAGCUGGCAGCUCCUCAUUUCUCUUUGCUCAGGACUGGCAGUGCCCAGCACAAAGCAGCCAGGCAUGGGAGCACCAGCUGUGCCUUGGCUUUAUCCUCACAGGAUCCAAAUCCUGCUGCUCUCAGGCCAGCUCAGCAGUGAAGUCUGACACCCUGCUCACACCCACUGUGCUGGAAUGAGCUCUGCUGCUGCCUGAAAGAACAAAGCUGAGCAAGAUGUUCCUGGGCAGGAUCCAGAGCAACUUGUGUCACCUCUUGAUGCAGGCAAGACAGGAGGA